AAGUCGUAACAAGGUAACCGUAGGUGAACCUGCGGUUGGAUCAUUAGAAAAUGUAGAAGUUGGUGUUGUGUGUGUGCUUCAUAUGCCCUCACGGGUUGUGUGAUCACCACUGGCAUCUCAACUUUCUUCAACCCACCUGUGCACUAUUGAACUGUAUCUGGCGAGUGUCUCACUGUUUCCUAGGGCAUGUUGUUUUGCAUCGCAAUUCAACACCCAGGAUCACAGCCUCGCCACCAGUAUCGCCAAACACAACCAUUUUUUGACACUGACUGAUGAUAAACAACAAAAACAAAUAGAAGAAACAACUUUUAACAACGGAUCUCUUGGCUCUU
RNAcentral lists this unclassified non-coding RNA (332 nucleotides) under fungal sp. RNAcentral describes it as "partial internal transcribed spacer region". The stretch from base 1 to 46 matches the Rfam family "Eukaryotic small subunit ribosomal RNA", at positions 1786 to 1831 of the family's 1831-position model. Lineage: Eukaryota; Fungi. The record is from RNAcentral.